This 433-nucleotide ribosomal RNA is filed under the name uncultured bacterium. Its description in RNAcentral is "partial 16S ribosomal RNA". It matches the Rfam family "Bacterial small subunit ribosomal RNA", at positions 29 to 507 of the family's 1533-position model. The record is from RNAcentral.
AACGAACGCUGGCGGCAGGCCUAACACAUGCAAGUCGAGCGCGCCCUUCGGGGUGAGCGGCGGACGGGUGAGUAACGCGUGGGAACGUGCCCUUUUCUACGGAAUAGCCUCGGGAAACUGAGAGUAAUACCGUAUACGCCCUUUGGGGGAAAGAUUUAUCGGAAAAGGAUCGGCCCGCGUUGGAUUAGGUAGUUGGUGGGGUAAUGGCCUACCGAGCCGACGAUCCAUAGCUGGUUUGAGAGGAUGAUCAGCCACACUGGGACUGAGACACGGCCCAGACUCCUACGGGAGGCAGCAGUGGGGAAUCUUAGACAAUGGGGGCAACCCUGAUCUAGCCAUGCCGCGUGAGUGAUGAAGGCCUUAGGGUUGUAAAGCUCUUUCAGCUGGGAAGAUAAUGACGGUACCAGCAGAAGAAGCCCCGGCUAACUCCGUG